AGACCGAUAGCGAACAAGUACAGUGAUGGAAAGAUGAAAAGAACUUUGAAAAGAGAGUGAAAAAGUACGUGAAAUUGUUGGAAGGGAAGGGCUUGAGAUCAGACUUGGCUUGUAGUGAUCAGCUGUCUUUCGGGACUGUGCACUCGCUACUUGCUAGGCCAGCAUCAGUUCUGGCGGUGAGAUAAUGGUAGUGGAAUGUGACUCUGCUUCGGUAGAGUGUUAUAGCCACAUGCAGAUGUCACCAGCCGGGACUGAGGACCGCGCUUCGUGCUAGGAUGCUGGCGUAAUGAUCUUAAGCCACCCGUCUUGAAACACGGACCAAG
RNAcentral lists this ribosomal RNA (323 nucleotides) under yeast sp. YUTI-CL166. Its description in RNAcentral is "LSU rRNA". It matches the Rfam family "Eukaryotic large subunit ribosomal RNA", at positions 331 to 670 of the family's 3401-position model. The record is from RNAcentral. Lineage: Eukaryota; Fungi.